AACGUAGGUUCCGAGCGUUAUCCGGAUUUACUGGGCGUAAAGCGCGUUCAGGCGGUUUGGCAAGUCGGGCAUGAAAUCUCUCGGCUCAACCGGGAGAGGUUGUCCGAUACUGCUGGACUUGAGGGCAGUAGAGGGUGGUGGAAUUCCGGGUGUAGUGGUGAAAUGCGUAGAUAUCCGGAGGAACACCAGUGGCGAAAGCGGCCACUUGGACUGCACCUGACGCUGACACGCGAAAGCUAGGGGAGCGAACGGG
This 253-nucleotide ribosomal RNA is filed under the name uncultured bacterium. RNAcentral describes it as "partial 16S ribosomal RNA". It matches the Rfam family "Bacterial small subunit ribosomal RNA", at positions 524 to 776 of the family's 1533-position model. The record is from RNAcentral.